AGCCGUCGUCACUGCACUUACAGAACACUACGCCAAGACAAGAGGGCGGCAACGACAACACCCAACAGGGGGAGGGGGCGCAGCAGUGGCUUGACGAGGGAAGGCGAUCAUCACGACGAGGGUGUGCUCUCCGUCUCCACCCCCGCACCUCGUACUCAUCCUUCAGACCCCCCUCCCCUCCUCCUCCCCACACCACCUCCAACAGCCUAUCGAGGAUGACGGACCACCUUAGUAAGCACCACGUCUGGCGGGACUACUACAGGGAGGCGAAGCAGGCGACGAGUGCUCCCAUGAAGUGUCCCUACUGCAAGCGACAGGGCCGCUUUGCCGCCAACACCUACGAAAUAGCCAAGCGCAUCCCCUCUGUCAUGUCCGAGGGAAUGGCACUCUGCCACUUCUGCGAGACUCCGAUUGGGCGGCAGGCGGAUGUGGUGCUGCAGCUGCGCUCCUGGUACUGCGGGUACUGCGAGCUGUGUGUUUGUCCGGCCUGCCAGAAGAAACAGCGGCAGCGGCGCUAGCCGGGCGCACCACAACGGAAUGGCUCGGUGCGUUUGAUAGAGUGCGUGAGCCACGGCGAUUGACAACGCUGAGGUGCGGCAAGUGUUUGUGCUGCAUGCGCGACUCUUCACCUCCCGUUGUCAGCCCGUCGGCCAAGCCUCUUGCAUGCGCGGUGCUUUCUCUCUCGCUAACAACGCCGUCUCCCUCCGCAACCACCCUCGACGGCCUUUUACGGUAUGCGUGCCGUCAGCCCGAGUUUCCGGCGCCGGCGGCUCUGCUCCCUCACUCCUUUGUGUUCCCCUGUCACACAACGGGUGAUGUCACACUGGAGAACACGAACCAAGUGAGGUGAGGGCGUUUCUGUCUUGUGACCCGACGGCAGCGCAGCUGUCUGCCGCGUGCUCUUCCUACGCGUGGCCUUCAGCUCAUUGCACUCACAAAAGUGCACACGUCAGUGAGAGAGACUGCGGGAGGCGGGUGAAGAGGUGGGGAGUCUACGACAAGCUUGCAACCUUCGAACACUCGCUCCCCUACCGCCGCUAUUCUCUCUGGUGUGCAUCCAGAAGGUUCGCAGCGCAACAUGCGCCGGUGGUGAUGACGUGCCCGUGCUGAGUCACGGAUGCACACACGCUUAGACCGACUUCAUGUGCUUCGCUCUCUUUUUUUUCCUUUCGCAUACUUCUCCUCUCCCUAACACUUACGGCUUACUUGUGUGUCUCUUGCUCUCUGUGCCAG
This 1233-nucleotide unclassified non-coding RNA is filed under the name Leishmania donovani. RNAcentral describes it as "gene:LdHU3.26.0510(CDS-product:hypothetical_prote in_conserved)". Lineage: Eukaryota; Euglenozoa; Kinetoplastea; Trypanosomatida; Trypanosomatidae. The record is from RNAcentral.